RNAcentral lists this ribosomal RNA (253 nucleotides) under uncultured bacterium. RNAcentral describes it as "partial 16S ribosomal RNA". It matches the Rfam family "Bacterial small subunit ribosomal RNA", at positions 524 to 776 of the family's 1533-position model. The record is from RNAcentral.
UACGGAGGGGGCUAGCGUUGUUCGGAAUUACUGGGCGUAAAGCGCGCGUAGGCGGCUUGGAAAGUUGGGGGUGAAAGCCCGGAGCUCAACUCCGGAAUUGCCUUCAAAACUCCCAAGCUAGAGUUCGGAAGAGGAGAGUGGAAUUCCCAGUGUAGAGGUGAAAUUCGUAGAUAUUGGGAAGAACACCAGUGGCGAAGGCGGCUCUCUGGUCCGAUACUGACGCUGAGGUGCGAAAGCGUGGGGAGCAAACAGG